UAAAGCGUGCGUAGGCGGCCAUUCAAGUCAGAGGUGAAAGCCCAGGGCUCAACCCUGGAACUGCCUUUGAAACUAGAUGGCUGGAACACGGGAGAGGUGAGUGGAAUUCCGAGUGUAGAGGUGAAAUUCGUAGAUAUUCGGAAGAACACCAGUGGCGAAGGCGGCUCACUGGACCGUUGUUGACGCUGAGGCACGAAAGCGUGGGGAGCAAACAGGAUUAGAUACCCUGU
RNAcentral lists this ribosomal RNA (230 nucleotides) under uncultured bacterium. Its description in RNAcentral is "partial 16S ribosomal RNA". It matches the Rfam family "Bacterial small subunit ribosomal RNA", at positions 561 to 790 of the family's 1533-position model. The record is from RNAcentral.